AAGGGUAUGGCUCAGUGGUAGAGUACAUGCCUACUAUGCAUGCAGUCUGGGUUCAAUCCCUAGGCCCUCC
RNAcentral lists this transfer RNA (70 nucleotides) under Camelus ferus (Wild Bactrian camel). It matches the Rfam family "tRNA". From Rfam's summary of the family: Transfer RNA (tRNA) molecules are approximately 80 nucleotides in length. Their secondary structure includes four short double-helical elements and three loops (D, anti-codon, and T loops). The record is from Rfam by way of RNAcentral. Lineage: Eukaryota; Metazoa; Chordata; Mammalia; Artiodactyla; Camelidae.